AUUGAAACAGAAAGUGUAAUAUUUUUGAAGCUAUAUAUGCAACACCUAUUGAUCUAUCUUAAUUCUUAAUUGAACAAAACAAAUAGUAAAUGAUAAUAAUAAACACAAUUGUAAAUCACCUUAUUGUCAUUUUUAUUGUUGUUAACUUCAAAAUGGAAUCUCUACAUACAUAAAUUGGGAUGCCAUUUCAAUAUUUAUAAGGAUUUAAGUUAUAUACGCAGAUUUGCUAAGGACAUACGUUGGGGAACUAAUGUUCAACUUGUGCCCAUUUCAUGCAAGAGCUCCAACAAUUUCAAGAUUACCAUAGAAGCUAUCAAAGAGACAUUUGAAAAAGUCCAACAAGAAAAAAUCAAAGUCAAAGGCAUGAUUUUGUCCAACCCUUCUAAUCCAUUAGGCACUAUUUUGGAUAGGGACACACUAAAAAAAAUCUUGACCUUCACUAACGAACAUAACAUCCACCUUUGCGAUGAAAUCUAUGCUGGCACCGUAUUUGAUGCUCCACAAUUCGUUAGCAUCGCUGAAAUUAUGGAUGAAAUUUCAUGUGUUAAUAAAAAAUUGGUACAUAUUGUGUCCAGUGUUUCCAAAGAAGUGGGUUUUCCAGGAUUUCAAGUGGAAAUUGUGUAUUCCUUCAAUGAUGAUGUCGUUAAUUGUGCUAGAAAAAUGUCGAGUUUCAGUCUUGUUUCCUCUUUGACACAACAUUCUCUACCUUCCAUGUUUGGCAAUGGAUUUAUCGAAAAAUUUCUCAUUGAAAAUACUAAGAAUUUAAGGAAAAGGCACGAGAAAUUCACUAGCGAACUUGAAAAAAUCGGAAUCAAAUACUUAAAAAGCAAUGCUGGGGUUUAUUGCUGGGUGGAUUUGAGAACUUUGCUGAAAGAGCCAACACCUGAUGCUGAGGAGUCACUAAGGAAACUGAUCAUAAAUGACGCGAAGCUCAAUAUCUCACCUGGAUCUUCUUUUAGUUGUUCGGAGGCAGGAUGGUUUCGAAUUUGUUUUGCAAAUAUCGAUGAUCAAACUAUGGAGAUCGCCCUCCAAAGAAUUCAAAAGUUUGUUGACUCUAAAAUGUUAUGAGUUUCAAUAUGUUGUCUCCUAAUUAUCUGAGGAGUUGUUAUUAUUAUUAUUAUGAAUAAAGUUGAUGUAUUAUUAUUCACAAGUUUAUCAGUCAAAUUUAUUUUGGUACUAUAUGGUUUUUAAUUAUUAUUUUAUUUUGGUCAAAUAUUGAACUUUUAUUUAAUCAAAAGUGAAUCAUUUACAAAUUGAUAGUUCCACUGAACUCUAGGAACUAGACCUCGGAAAAAAAAAACCUCUUCUGUAUUAAGAAAAUUAUAACAUUUUUGGUAUAGCUUUUAGAUAUCUAGAUUUUUUUUGUUUAAAAUAUCAAAUUAAUGUAAUCUAAUUUAACAUUUAAAAUUAAUCAAUUUGCCUUUCAAAAGACUCAACGAUAAUUAAAAGUGGACGGAGAAAGUACGUAAAAGUAAACGGAGGAAAUAAUAAAUAUUAUAUGAAAAAUGUUGGUGGACUUUCUCAACAAUUUAUCACCUAUCACUUGAAUUGAAAAAUGUUGGGAGUGAUGUCUCUUUCUCAUAUACUCCAUGUUACUAAUUACUUUUCCACUUUUGAAUUGUCACAUCUAUUAAGAAAAUAAUUAUUGACAUAGUGAAUUUACUAUUUUACCUCUUUUAAUUAUGAAGUGGAUGAAUUAAAAAAUUAAUAUUUUCAAAAAGUUCUACCUUUUUCGAAGUAAUUAAUUGAGGGUAUAAUAAAUUAUUUUUUUUGAUCAUUUCUUAAUUUAUCAAAAUGAACAAAUAAUUAAGGAUAACUAUAAAAGAAAAAUGGACAAAGAAAUAGGGACGAGUAUAUUUAAAGCACACAAGAUUCUAUUCAUUCUCUUCUGAAGACUUUUUUGUCCAACGCACGUGCAUCAAAAAUAUUUAUGUAAUUAAAUAGUUUUUCCUUAAUAAAAGGGUUUAUAAACCAAAGAAUUUAUAUAAAAAAAAACAAGAAGAAGAAAAAGUAUCUUGUGCAUGUUAGUGAUUUUUUGGAAUAUAUAUAAUUAAAAUACAAAAAAGUCAAAAUGUAAUUAUAUUAUAUAGUAAUAAAUAUAUCUCGUGUGUUUUCUAAGCUUAUAAGAGGUGACAAUGCCAUAAAUGAGGAGCCUAGUUGAGAGAAAAGACGGUGAGAAAAUCCCUAGAGAUAGAGAUAGGACAUUAAGGGCCCGUUUGGCCAUAGAUUUCCCAAGAAAACUUGGGAAAAAAUUUGGCAAAUAUUGUUUGUCCAUACACUUUCUCAUUAUUUGGCAAAUUUUUUUGGCAAAUAACCCAAAUUCCCAAAUACUAGUUUUUUCUAGUAUUUGGGCCAAAUCUCAUUAUUUCAAAAGAUUUAAAAAUUCAAAUUUAACACUAAACUUUUAUCUUUUACAAAAACACUUUAUUUAUUAACACCAACCAACUCAAUCAAAUCUCCAUCUGCUAACUAACUCAAUUAAUAAAUUUUUCUAUUAUAAAGAGCAUACAUGUACAAGAGCUUUUAUACCCAAAAAAUUAGUUGAACAACUGUAGUAAAAGCUUUGUGGCAAUCCUCUGUGGAGAAACAAAUUGAAGGUAAUUUGUAAAAAUCUACAUACAUUUUCUUACUAUAAUGAUGCUUUUUGAUUUGUUGCGGAAGUCAUGAAUCUUGUUACGCGACAUUUCUAUUUUGCUAUGUAAUACAAGUUUAUGGUUAGUUUUGAUAGUUUUAAAAACUUAUGGGCAUAAGUCAUAUUUCUUAAAAAAUUGAAAUAUAUUUCCCAAAUACUAUGGCCAAACACAUGGUGAAAUUUCACCCAAAUAAUAUUUGCUAAAUAUAUUUGGAAAUCUAUGGCCAAACGCUAGCUAAGAAAGUGGCUAUUGCCAAUUAAAAGUAUAGAAUUCCCACUAGCAAUAGAUACUAGUUUAAUUCGAUUGAAUUAUUAUGCAGGUGAUUGAUCAUGCGAUUUUAUUCCAUGAUAUGAAAAUUAUGGGAAGAAAUCAGCGUUUGGACAUGUGAUUUCACACUGAUUUUAUAUUUGAAAUUUUAAAUUCUCUAAAAGUCAUGAUUUGAGAAUUUCAAAUCAUUAUAUGGUUUUUUCAAAUACAAAAAUAAACCCACCAGUUUAUAUUCUGUUAAAAGUAUCUCACAUAUAAUUUAUAUAUAUCUACUAGCUAUUUGUUUCAUAUGUAAAUAAAAGUUAUAAUUCAUAUCAUUACUAUUUAAAUCGUUUAUAUCUCAUAUAACGAUUAUUCUCUCCAAUAUAAAAUUAUUUUUACUUCAAAUCAAUUCUUAAUUUACCAUUUAUAUUCGCUAAAUUCAUUAUUUUCUAAUCAAAUUUAUUGCUAGUACUUCAUUCAAAUCAAUGUUUAGUAAUAAAAAAAAUUCAUCAUUAUAUUAAGUGGACAAGACUAAUCACCGUGACAUUAAUUACAAAAAUAAUUUCCUUAUCUACUAACAACUUGAACACUAUAACUUAUGUUCAAUUUUUUUUUAUUGAAUUAAGGUUUGAGCAAUAAAUGUGAUUUUAUAAACUUUUGUUUAUUUGGUAAGAUUGUAUAAACAAUUGGAACAAUUUUGAUAGUUUACAACUUGUGGAGUUUUUACGUUAAUGAGAAAAUAUACAACAUAAAAAGUUCAAAUAUGUCCAAACAAAACUUCAACUCCAUCUCAUAAUUUCAUAUUGUAUGGUCUAACGAUCCUAAAUCUCUUACACCAUCUAGUAAUCUCAAAAGGUAGUCAACCGCGAUAUAACUGCCAUCUAGUGAUAAUAUUGUAAUAUUAAUUCUAUCUUUAUUCAUUUUGUGUAAUGAAAAGAACACAAAGUAAAAUAUGUUACAAAGAGAAUAAUUUUUUCAUUUCAAAACAAAAGAAGAGUUUCUUUAGAAUGUGAUGUAAUGGUCUUUAAUGUCAUUAACAUUCACAAUGCGUUAUAAAAAUUAACUCUUGAGUCUACAAUAAUUCAUAUUGAAAAUAUCCUAUAUAAGUAGUGUCUUUUGUGAAAACUACACAACCAACAAAAAGAAGAGAAAAACCUUCUUCUCCUUUUUUUUUUAAAGCUUAUUCUUAGAAUAUUUUUUGGGUAAUUGAUUUUGGGUAACCUCCAAACUUUCAGCCACGAGUGUACGUGUUUGAGAGCAACUAUGGACCUUGGGGAGCGAUCAGCUACAACGAUAUACACUGGAGUCGAGCCGAAAUCGCUUUCAAGGCAGUAGUUUGCCAUGACAUAGUGUUUGUAAUAGGUUAUUUACUACUUUAUAAUUUCAGUCUAAUAUCAAUAUUGUAGUAUUUUUCCCAACAAAUACUUGUGACCUUGUAAAAUAUAUAUUUAUAGUUAAAAAAAGCAUCAAAGGUAAGUAAAAUCCUAUUUAUACUCUAACAAAAAUUAUUCAGAAUUCCGUAUUUGUUUACUGCUAAUAGUUUCAUGUCAAAUUCUCAACAUUAUAGUCUGAAUUAAAUUUAUUGAUCAUGAAAAUAUAAUUAGUGUUCUAGAAACUUCUUGUUUAUUGGCCCUUAGAAUUUGAAGAUCCUUUUAAUUUAAUCUAAUUCAAAACGCUUUAUAGUUAUUAAUCAUACAAAUUGAAUAUAUAGAGAAUUUGAAGAAAAGGAACAACUUAAAUCACAUUAUUAUAUCAUGUAAUUCUAUUCGAUCUUUAUUGGAAAAUUAUCAAAUAACAAUCGAAACAUAUCAAUAUUAUUUUAGGUGAACAUUGUACAUAUGGUGCAUAUGAAGGCAAAUAACAUAAAUGGAUGAUUUAAUCUUUCUAAUUUGAGAGACCUAGGAAGAUGGAGCCAUGCAUUGAGGUUUUGAAGGGAUUAAGUGUUGGGAAAAGUACUACAAUAUUGAUAUUGGAUUGGAAUUGCAAAAUACUCCCUCCGUCCCUUUUUAGUUGUCCACUUUAGAAAUGACACACAGAUUAAGGCAACAAUGAUUAGCACAGUGAAGUUACAAUUUUACCCUUAUGACAACUUUUCACUUCAAAAUUACAACCACUUAUUUGAAUUCAAGUGAAAUAAAUUGGAGGGAAACAACAUACACUUUUACAAUUUUCAAGAAGUGUAAAUAAGGGUAUAAUAGGAAAAAAUUUGUUGUCCUUUCUUGAUUUGUCAAAAUGGACAACUAAAUAGGGACAACCAAAAAAGGAAAUAUGGACAAGUAAAUAGGGACGGAGGGAGUAGUAAACAACUUAUUACAAACACUGUAUCGUGGCAAGUCAUUAGUGGCCUUGAAAGCGAUUUCGGUUCGACUUCGGUGCAAAUUGUUGUAGCCGGUCACUCCCCAAGGUUCCACAGUUACUCUCAAACACGUGCACUCGUGGCUGAAACUUUGGAGGUUGCCCAAAAAAUAUUGUAAGAAUAAUAUAAGAAAAAAAGAGGAAGAAGUUUUUCUCUUCUUUUUGUUUGUGUUGGUGUCUUCUCUUCUUGUUCACAAAAGGCCAUGCUUAUAUAAGAUUUGCAAAGAGGAGUUUGAAGGUGAAGAGUUAAAUUUGUAAAACGUAUUGUGAAUGUUAAUGACAUUAAAGACCAUUAUACCACAUCCUACAGAAACUCUCCUUUUUGUUUUGGAACGGAAGUGUUAUUCUCUUUGUAACGUAUUUUACAAAGAACGGAAAUAUUGUUCUUUGCAUUGUAUUAUUAAAAAAGAAAAUGAGUUUUAAGAGUCGCCACUUAAUUUUUAACGAAAAAUCAAGAAAACUUAUUUUUCAAAAGAUUAAAAACAGAAAAUCUAAUGAAAAUAUUAAAUGGGGUUCGGGGUUCAUAUUAAUGUUCUAGGAAGGAUUUUAAAACACCUAGAAGAUCCGCUAACAUGCGGUUAUCCGAUAAUUAACGAUUUUGAGAAAAUACGCAUACUUGAAUAAAUAGAGAAAGCAAAUAACUUUUGAACUCACUUUUUCUUAGGGGAAAGGGAAUAAAGAUGUUAUUUAAGUAGAAAAUACUAGAUGUUUUAAAGUCAAAUAAAAUAUAUUUAUUUGAUUUUAACAAUUAUGGUUAAAUCAUCAUUUGGGGAAUUGAAUUAAGGAAAAACCUUAGAAUUACCUAACAAAUCAACAAUUAAACAAAUACGAUAACAAAUAAAAUAAAGAGAGAGAGGGCUUGGGCCCAAGUCUUGUUUUAUGUUCGCCUGUAUCAGCACUUGGGCCUUUGGCCCAUUUAAAUCACUGGUACCUGUCAUAAUCUAACAUAAAUGAAUUGUUUUUCUUUUGGGCCUUAGACCCAAUUCUUCCACAUGUCCUAAGAACUAACAAGUGAUAAUAAUAAGGAAAAAUUACAAAAAUCUCACCUUUUAGUUUACUUAUUACCAUUAUCCCCUAUAAGUUUUAUGAAUCUCCAAAAUCCCUCAUUUUCACGCAUCAGAUUAGUGUAUCAUGUAUAAAAUGUACAUCAGAUUAGUAUAGCAUGUAUAAAAUGUAAUGUAUCUUACUUAACGAUUAAUGUAUCUCGUGCAUCAGAUUAAUGUAUCAUCGCUUAUAUUAUUGUAUCCGUUUGAGGGAUUUCUGUAAUUAUAAACUUUUAAGGGAUAGUUUGUAAUUUUGCCUUAAAAAUAUGUGAUUUCUGUAAUUUGCCAUAAUAAUUGCAAAUAAAGGACUUAGCCCAAAAAGUAACAAAUACAAUUUGAAAAUAAAGGGGUGGGCCUUUGGGCCCAAAUUUGCAUGUAUACAGCAUAUACACUAAGUACAUAUUGUUGUAUAGUUGUACAUCAGCUCCAACUCUGUCCAUCAAUCUUUUGGGGGAUCGGUUCUUCGAUUUUUAUGGCUGGCUAACUUUAUAAAGGUGGAGUUUGAGCCUUUACGGCUCUCUCGAAAUGCAAAGGAGGAGGAUGAGCCCGUGAGGACUCGGAGAAAGAUUCCACGUGUUGCAGAGCAACAAAGUAAGGGCAACAAUGAGCAGGGGAGCAGCGAUUUCACACCAAAUAAGACUUCAAAAAUCGAACAAUAAAUUAGAAUAUCCGAACCGACUUCAAACAAAGACCCUUUUAGAAGUUAGAACUAGAAAAUUGUAUUCGAAUUUCUUAAGUGUAAAAAUUGAUUGUUCAAGAAAAACUCCAACCCCUACAAUGGAGAAGAAGAGAGGAUUUAUAGGGGAAAUUCUAGGAUUCUCUUGUGAGUUGUUGUUCAUGCCGUUCGAUUUUGUAAACGUUGGAGAGGACGAAGUUACUUUUCAUUUGGCCGUUGUUGCUGUGACGUUGAUGUUGAAAACGUCUGGCUGGCUUUCUUCUUGAACAAGGAUUGGGCAGAGUCAAGUGGAAGAAGUGGGCUGGAAAAUUUGGUGGGCUGCGUGGAAAAUUGUUGGUGCUGGAUUGGUUGGAAUUGGAUUGGUUUGGGGGAAAGAAAUUGGCUUAAUUGGGCUGAAAAUUGAAAGGGAAAAGGCUCAAAAUUUGGUCCUUUAAGAUGGGUAGAAGAAAGAGGUUAGGUUUGGCCAAAAUUGUAAUAGAAAUUAAUUAACAAUUUAGCCAAACGGAUAAAAAGGGUAAUCAAAAGAAUUAAUCUUCAUAGAUUCAGCUAAAAUUCGAAUAGGAUGAAUUAAUAUAAUUAAUUUAUGAGCUUUUUAAUCUUAACAAAAUAAAAUAAUUAACUUAAUUAUAAACUAAUUAAUUUAAAUACAAACCAAGUAACUCAAAAUUGUACUUAUGAUUUAGACUAAACCAAAUUAAUAAAAUACUUAGCUAAAGAAAAAUAAAAAUAAAAUCUUUUUGGUAUGAUUUUCAAAUAUUUGUAAAAUAUAUUAAAUAUAUGAGUAGAUACAUAAAAACUAAGUACUAUUUAAAGACGACCAUAUCACUUUUAAAACCUUGAAAAAUAUUUGAAUUUUAUAAACUAAUUAAUCCAAAUCAUUUGAUAAUUGAGAAGCUUGAAAAUUAAUUACUAUUGGGGAACGUCAAAAUUGGGUGUCAACAUGCAUUACACAAAAUCAAUAAAGGUGUAAUUAAUUUCACAAUCCCCCACUAAUGCAAAGAUAAAGAGUAAGAACAAAAUUUGGACAAAAGGAAGGAACAUGUACUUAAGUGUCAAUAUCUUUCGAUUUGAAUUAACACAGUGAAAUGAGGCAAUCACUUAAUAUCCACAAAGUGAAGUACUCUUGAACUGAAUGGAUAUGAAUUGAGACCCCCAUAUCACAUCCUAUAUCCUUAAAUUUUAAGCAACCUCCGCGAUACAAACAAAGUGCUUUUAUGGUCAUGCACACACACCUUGGGUCUAAUGAGUGCUCUAGAAAGACGACCUAAGUUUUUCAUAAAAGGAGACCACACCCUUACACUCACGUUGGUGAUUCCAUCAAGUCUAUCUCAAAUAGACCACCUUAAGGCUAUAGAAUCAUUAAGAGAAAAAUAAGCUCAACCUUAUAAAGCACUGCCUCACACCAUAGGGAUAGAAAAUGUGGUGUAUAUUGAGGCCUAGCAGGUCCACCACAUUACAUUAAUCAAUGGGCUUUAGCCCGAUCCACCUCAACGUUUCAAGGAUUAUUUUCCUUGUCAAGCCCUUGGUCAUAAAAUCCAUCAAAUUUCUUACAGACCUUACAUAUUUCAAGGAAAUAACACCCAGUUUCAACAACUAUUUAACCGCACCAUGUUUGAUGCGAAUAUAUCUCCUUUUUCGAUUAUACACACUAUUUUUGGCAAUUUCAAUUGUUGCCUGUGAGUCACAAUGAAGAGAGACUGGUGAAGCUUAUCUUCCCCACAAUGACAUAUCCGCCAAAAGAUUUCUCAUCCACUCAGCUUCUUACCCUGCCAACUUGAGAGCAAUGAAUUCUGAUUCCAUGAUAGAACGUGCUAUACAAAUCUGUUUGGAAGACUUCCAUGAAAUAGCACCUGCACCCAAAGUAAACACAUAGCCAUUGAUGGAGCUAACUUCAUCAUUGUUAGUUACCCAGUUUUCAUCACAACAUGAGAAUUAACAGUUGUAGAUGUAGAAGCAUUAUUUUGCACAUCACUCGGCACACUAUUUUUCAAAGGAAAAAUAGGCUCAAAAAUUUUUGCACCUCUAGAUUUACAAAUAGAAUAAUCAUUUUAGAGACAUUAAUCUAUAUGCAACACUAUUUUGAGUAUAACCAAUAAAGACAUUAUUAGAAGUUUUAGAACCAACAUUUACUCGUUUAAAAUCAGGUAAAUCAACCUUAGCAAAACAUCCCCACACUUUCAGAAAUUUCAAGUUAGGGGCAAACCCUUUCCACAACUCAUAUGAGGUCUUGUCUAACUUCUUAUGAGGGACUCUAUUAAGAAUAUAGCAUGCAGACAAGACUGCUUCUCUCCACAUAUUGUCAGAUAGACCAAAGCUUAAAAGCAUAGAAUUCAUCAUUUCUUUACGGGUUCUAUUUUUCCGUUCGGCUACACCAUUUUGUUAGGGAGUAUAGGGAACACUAACCUCAUGUAUAAUAUCAUUUUUCUCACAAAAAGCUUCUAAAGUUUUAGUACUAUAUAUUCACCGUCCCUUUUAGAUCUAAAUCUCUUAAUUUUUCUGUCUAAUUGGUUUUCCGCUUCUGCUUUGAAUUUCAAAAACAUGCUUUCAGUCUCAUCUUUAGUCUUAAGAAGAUAUACUUUAGUGUAUCUAAAAAAGUCCAGAUAUACCUUAGUGUAUCUAGAAAAGUCAUCAACAAAAGUAAUGUAAUACUUUUUUCCACCUUUGCUAAUAGUAAUCUUGAAAUCUGCUAAAUCUGAAUGUAUUAGUUCAAGUAAUCCAGUCUUUUUACUAAUAACAGAUUUGAAAGGUUUCUUGGCAUGCUUUGCUUCUACACACAUAGGACAUUUAGAAAACUCAUCAGUUUUAUCAUAGGAAUUUAUUCCAUUUUUAUAAGUCUUUUAAUAGAAGCAAUAUUAACAUGAUCUCGUCUACCAUGUCACAAGUUAAUAGACUCAACAAUAUAAGCAGAAUUUGAAGUACUUGCAUUAUUGACAAUCUCUUGAACAAUGUUCAAUACAAAUAAUCCUCCACUAAGAUAUCUAUUAUCAACAAAGUCUCCUUCACGUGAAAUAAUUAUUUUAUCAGCUUCAAAAAUAAGUUUAAGGCCUACUUUAUUGAGAAAUGCUCCGGAAACUAAAUUUCUACAGAGGGAGGGAACUUACAAAAUGUUGUAUUAUAUAAACUGGUUUUUUUGAGCUUGUAGCUCAUUCUUAUUAACAGGUAAAAAAAAAGGGCCAAAAGUGAAAAAAUUCCUAUUUUAUCGGAUAUGUAGUAGUUAUUUCCUUCUUUUUGCUAUUCAUAUUCUCUUUUUUUUCAUAACAAAUUUGUACAGUAAUAUACAAAUAUUAAUUGAUGUAUAUAUAUAUAUAAUCAACUAGUCUAUGCUAAAAAGCACUAAGGAAUCACUUAGAAAGUAUGACCCACGAUGGCUACAUAAUUUAUGGAGACAUUGAGUUGUUAUGAACUCGUCCCCACAUCGAUGUUCAAUACUACUCCCAAAAUACUCAGCUCAUAUGUUUUUUUAAAAAAAACUUUUUCUAUGGUUUGAGAUAAUUACUCAAAAACUAGCUCAAAAGCACUCUUGGAAAUCAGUGUUUCCUCUCUUGUUUAAAUGUGAAAACAUUCACUCUUUGGAAAUACUUAGUUACCAUAUAUUUGAAGAAAUGAACUUCAUUUGUUACUCUUACUUAACUCAAAACUCAAGUCUUAAAACAAGUUUAAAACAUUUGCAAAAGACUUCUUCAAAAGACUAUGAACUUUCUAGACUUGGCUCUUAACUUUCCUUGAAUUUGAAUUUAUGGAUUCAAGGUUAUGAUUCAUGUUUAUGGAUGGUUCUAGGUGUUUAGAAAUCAUUUAGAGUAGUUAGAAUCAAUAGGAAGUGUUAGUACACUUUAGAAGGACUUAAAAGGCUAAACAACCAAAAACGGGUUGGGGUAGACAGACCUGACGCACUGCCAGCGCGCCGCGCCAACCCCCAAAGUUCAGAGACCACUUUUUGGUGCACUUCUGGCGCGUCACCUCAGCCCUCCUAGCGCAACGGGGGCGCGUCACCCCAACCCUCCUGGCGCAACGGGGCCGCGCCACACCAACAUUCCCCUAGGUGAAUCUGAUGAAUUUUUCCUCUCGUUUUCUGAUCUUAAUUCGAUUAAUUGCAAUUCUUUUUCUCAAUAUCUCUUUAGAUUCAAGUACCCAAUACAUACACACAAGAACAUAAUUCAAAGAAACUCUAAUAAUCAACAUUAAACUCUCAAGAACUCCUCAAUCUCAACCCAAAUUCAAGAACGAAAGCAAUUCAAGAACACUCAUUAAGAACAUUCAAACUUCCAAUCUUUUUAGGACGAAUUCACGCUGAAAUAAACAUGUUUGGCACGUGGGUGAACGAACCCAACAUUAUGAAAGUCUCACAUGCCUCGUAGGAUCAAAUCCUUGACGAAAUCCGCAAUCAAUUCCUCACGAAGACGACGAAAUCUUGAGUUUUCCUCUUCUCUUCUCUCUUGAGUUCUUCUCUCAAAAACCCUAACGUUAAUUUCCAAUUGUCUAAACUGAACCAAUUCAGUUUAGACCCCUAAGUAAUUACUUGAAACUAAUUUAAUUAAUUGGGUAGUGAAAAGACCACAAUACCCUUCUAAAAUCUGAUUUUGACUUUCCUUAUCUAAGCAACCCGACUUCAAAUGGGCAUAUCUCCCUUAUACGAACUCAAAAAUGAGCAAACUCGGUGGCGUUGAAAAGAUAAUUUAAAGAUCUUUUCUACGGUAUCUUGUAGAACACCUAACUCAUCAUGAGCUAGGAGUUAUGGUCGUUUGAAGUUGACCCAUCAAAACUUAACAUAACUUAAACAAAUUUCCAGAUUUUUCAUUCUUUCCAAGAACGACUCUUUCUAAUUCUAGCUCUUUCACUUAGCGAGGUGUUACAAUAAUAUUGACAUUUCUCUUUAUCUGUGACAUGAUACGUUUUUCAUCUUUUUUUAAGUAUAUAAAAUAGAGUUUCUGUUUUUGCAUUUUUUAAGUGCAAACUAUUCAUAUGUAUAUAGUAGAACAAAAUAUUCAUUGUGCUGAAGCAAAUGGAAUAAGAGAUCAUAUUUUGAAAUAACAAUAUGUUUUAUUACGUUGACUUUUUUUUUUAUGUUUUAAUUUCCUCUAUCUUUUGUAGGAUUAUUGAUUUUCUAUACAAAUUCUGAUUUUGUAAAAAGAACUUUUGAAUUUCUUUAUUGGGUCUUUAUUAUUAUAUUUGUUUAUUAUGAUUUUUUAAACCCUUAUUAAAUAUUUUUAAAAAUUAUGAAAAUUGAAACAUAAAAAAGUAAUAAAUAAUAUUUAAGAUUAUAAGUUACAAGUGAGAUGGAGAGACAUGAGUUAUAAAUAAUUUAAAAUGCACAAAAUUUUAUUAGAUAUUAAAUGCAUUAAUAAUUAUGCACUGAUUUUAUUUGUAAUACAAAUAAGUGAAAAUAAGGGGUGAAAAUACAAAAAUGAACAAAAAAUAAAAUAAUCGGUGACUGCAUAAAAAUUAUAAAUACAUUUCAAACAAAAAAGAAUAGCAACAAGCACAGAUUGUCGUAUGCAAAAAAACUGAAAUCAUUAAAUUAAUAUUUGAUUUUUUUUAGAUUUUUUUUACAAAUAUAAUAAAAAUGAAACUGAUGAUCAUCAUAAUUUUUUUUUUAAAAAAAUGGGAUAAUUAUAUUAAUUGUGCUUCAUAACAAAAAAAAAUUGAAUAAUAAAGGACCAAAUGAUUAGCAUUGCCAAUCUAUGUAACUAAAUUAUUUAUACAAACCAAAAUUUAAAUAAUUAUAGCAAAAGUAGCGAACUUACUAAUACAAGUCAAAAUAAUACAGUAAUAAAAAAAGUCUAACAAAAAUAAUCUCUGAUUAUGCUUUAUUUUUUCCCUUCUACCUUCUUCCUUUGCAAGUAGAUUUAUCAACAUAUUUUGCUUCAUUUAUCAAACUCUUCAUCAUAUGCUACCAAUUCAAAAAAAAUUAUAUGAAUAAAUAAAUAUCAUAUACCAAUUAAAAAAGUAUUAUAUCAAAAAAAGAAAUUUAUAUUAUAUGUAAUAUAUGUGUAUAUUAUUUUUUCAAUAGUACUAGCAAUAUUAAAUAAAAAUAUCUAUUUAAAUUUAACGAAUAUUAUAAUUAAUCAAACUACAUUAUACCCCAGAAACUGAUUAUUAGAAAGAACAAUCGCAUCGUGACAUCACAUUGUUCAUUAUUAUAAACGUAUUUUUUUUAUACUUGCUGCUUGGUGAAUGAUAAUACAUAUAUAAAUUAAAUAUUAAGAAAGCAUGUACCCACGUACAUAAAAAUAGAAGGAAAGAAUUGAGAAUGAAAUAUUUCAAACCUUCAUGUACUUCUUUUUCGUUACAUGUUAGUUAAUUCACAAUCAAAUAUAAUGAAGAAGAGAAAUGAUAAUCUUGAAUUUGAAUCUUGAUGGAAUUAAAUAUGAAUUUAUACAGGCAAAAUAGAGGAAAUGAAAAGAAAGUCUUGAGAAUGAAAUAUUUCCCGAACUAUUAUAAAUGGUAUGUCAAUACCCUUCGUUAUACUUUAGGGCUAUUCAUACCCUUACCAUUAAUAUUUUAGGUUGUGUAUACCCUUGAGGUUAACGGAGGGACACGUGGCUUCAUCUAAACAAUUCGAAUAAAUUUAUUUUAAUUUUAUCCAUAAAUUAAAAACCUACCCAUAUGACCCGCCCAUGACCCAUUUAUCUUAAGCAAAUUCGAAUAAAUAAUGGCUACAGGAUUUCGUCACUUUUAUUUCCUUCACCAUAUUUUCACCAUUGCUUCCCGGUCGGCUCUGACGCCGUGUGCACCUCAAACCCAGGACUCAACGCCGCCGCCAUCGAUGACAAACAUAUAAUCUUGACCGGCAAUUGAAAAGUCAAUUUUAUAGUGUCGAAGAGAGAUUGAUUAAUCUAGGUUGGAGAUAUUGACUUUGAUGGCAAUGGAGCAUGGGGAAUCGGAGGUGUAAAAGCACCCAAGAUCUCCCCAAGUCCAUGUUGAUUCCAUCUGUGAUCUACAUGAACUAUAUUUCCGGCGAAUACAAGCAAAAAACGUCAGUAGCGAAUCCAAUUCUUAAUUUCUCAUAUAUUUCUGUAAUUUCAUUCAUUCUCCGAUCUUUGUUGUGUAAUCACCAUUCUCCAUCACAUCUAUGUUGAAAUAACAAGUUCCGAUUUGCAAAUGUUAGAGGGAUGAAUUUGCUCACAAAGUUGGUGAAAAAUAAAAAUUGAAAUUCGGUGCAGUAUUCAAUGAAAUUAUUUUAGUGCAUUUGGGUACUUUUGGGUUAUGAUUUGGGUAUGGCCGUAUGGGUUUUAAAUUAUCGGGUCAUGUGGGUUUGAUUAUGGGUGGGUUUUUAAUUUAUGGAUAAAAAUUAAAAUAAAUUUAGUUGAACCGUUUAGAUGAAGCCACGUGUCCUUCCGUUAACCUCAAGGGUAUAAACAACCUAAAAUAUUAACGGUAAGGGUAUGAAUAGCCCUAAAGUAUAACGGAGGGUAUUGACGUACCAUUAUGAUAAUUCGGGGGUAUAUUUAUCCUUUUUCCCUUUUUUUUAUUACAUGUUAGUUCAUUUACAAACCAAUAUGAUAAAGAAGAGAAAUAAUUAUCUUGAAUGUGAAUCUUCAUGAAACUAAAUAUAAAUUUAUAGGCAAAAUAGAGGAUUAUCAUAAGACAUCAUAAACUUACAAAUUUAAGUUUGAAUGUUAUGAACAUAAAAAUUAUGGGAGUGUGGAUAUUAUUAAAAGUAAAAAUUAAAGAGGUCUAAGUCAUAUGUAAUAACUUCUUGUGAAUAAAUAAUAAAUUACUUAAAAUAUAUAUAAAAAAACAUUAUUAUAUUUUUGGUUAAAAGUGAAGCAAACAAAUAAAAAAAGAACGUGAAGAGUUUUUGUCGUAAAUGUUUCUACAUUUAUAAAAUAUUUAUUUGUACUAAAUUAAGUAAUUUAUUUUUACAAAACAAUAAUUAAUUUUAAUUUUAAAAAAGCCAAAAAGGAGAAAAAAGGUUGCCAUGUCACCUUAGUUAUGUUUCCUCUUUAUUAUAUAUAUAUAUAUAUAUAUAUAUAGUUAAUAUGACAUUUGAUUUACAAUUUAAAAACUCACGUUCAAUAAUACAUAUAUAAGUUAUGAGGAUACUUAUAUAUUAUUUUAUGUGAGGUAAAAAAUAACAUAACUUAUAAUAAUAUCUACACAACUAAUACAUGCAUUAUUAAUACAUUUGAUGCUAGCUUUUAAGUAAUUUUUUUUUUUUGCUCUUUAGCUCAAGUACAUUUGAUACAUUAUAUAGCAAACUAAAAUAGCUAUGAAAGCUGUUUUACACCCUAAAAUUGGCUGUUUCUGAAAUUUCCUUUUUGCCUUUUUAAAACACAAAAACAUCACACACUCGGGACCAUCCAUUUUGGAUUGGUAUGACUAAUUACGUAAGUUCAACACGUAGUCACUCAUCAAGUUGGCAGGAAAAACAUAAAUUUGGAGACUUUAGACUGGAUUGUAAAUGUCUCUAGCUUUAUAAUCACGCAAAUAUAUCUAGCUUUAUAAAUUAAUAAAAAAAGAAGACAAAAAACAUAGAUUUGAUUUGGUGGAAGAAUUACUGAUUCCAGAAUAUUCUAUAAUAAUAAUAUUAUUAUUAUUAAUAAUAAUAAUAAUAAUGAUGAUGAUAAUGAUGAUGAUGAUGUUCUUAAAUUAAAGCUUAUUUUCUAGUAAUCAAAUAUUUUUUAAGGAAAAGAUUGAGAACAUAUUGUAAAUUUUUUAAAAGAGGUUUAAAUGUAAGGAAUUUUUAAUGAAAAAAUAAUAAUUAAAUAGAUUAAGUGACUUUGUAAGUAAAAUAUUAUAGUUGAGUGAUUUUUGAAAUAGAAAUCAAAGUUGAGUGACUUUGAAAGUAAAAUCAUUAUAGUUGAGUGAUCAUUCUAGAUAUUAACUCUGUGAACAAUUUAUAAUACCUAGCUAUUGCUUGUAUUGAAACUUGAAAGUAAUAAUUUUGCGAUUAAUUCUUUCGAAUUGACCCUUUUACUCACUCUAAAUCAUAUUAUUUGAUAUUUUCUUACUUUUUUUUAGAAAAAAAAUUCAAAAAUAAGUAAUGUUUUAUGUAAUAAUAAAUAAUUUUGUUUAAAUCCACCUUUAUAUCGCUACUCUCUAUAACCAAAGGAAGAAGAAAAAUGACACAAGACUCAUAUUAGAUAUCCAAUCAUGUAUUAGACACAUGACCUGUUACAUAUUUAAAACCCGACAAUAUAGAUUCGCUUAAACCCUACCUGUGUCGGCUUCUCUUUAGAAGACAUUUUUUCUUCUUCCUACUCAAUAUCGUAUUUAUAUUAUAAUCUGAUUAAAUUUGGAUUAAACAUUCUUUCAACAAAGUCAACUUUAUAUUCUAAAAAAUUCAAACUCAAAACCUCUAAUCAAGGAUGAAUGAUUAUUUAUCACUCCACCAGUGGCGUAGGCACAUGUAUGAACACCCUUCGUCGGAAAAAAAUUCUGCAUAUACAAGUAAAAUGAUUCAUAUUUUGACACCCUUAGCAUAAUAGGUUGUUAUAGUCUAGUGAUUUAAUAUGUUUUGAAUGUGUGUUUAGACAUCUUUAAUGAAUCGAUUGUUUAAUUUUUGAACCCUCUUUGUGAAAUUCCUGAUUCUGCCACUGCACUCACCCAACCCUUAUUGAUAUUGUCCAAGAUUAUAUUACUUAGGCAUGAGCUAGCUAAAAUACUGUUGUGAGUUUGGUUAAAAUCAGUACUCCUUCUAGUUGUGAAUUAUUGAAUUAGGUCACACUCUUCAAGAAAAAUUUUUGAAAGACAUAAAUUAUAGAUAUUUUUCCCUAUUACUUUUUAUUUAAUUCUUUCUAAAAUAUUCUCAUAAAAGAUUUAAGAUAGUUAUACUUCAUUAAAUGGAAGAUAAAUAUGAAAAAAAAUAUAUCAACAAGUCUCUUCAAUUCUGACCAAUUCACUUAUUUUAAAUAAUAACUUUCUUUUCCAAUAAUUUACUUAAUAUCAACUAGAGGGAAUAGUUUUGAUUAAAUGAAGAGAAAAUUAUUUAAAUACAUAACUUAUUUUAUUAUAUUCUUUAAAAUUUCCUAUCAUUUUAAAAAAAUUAAAUUAUUUUGGUAUUAUAAAUAAUAUUAAAUUUAUAAAUUUUAAUACGAUAUUUUAAGAUCUUGUAAAGAGCGGGAAUAUAAAUCAGUAUUUAAUAAUUGAUAAACAUAUUUUUAGGUAGAAGUAGGGAUUUCUAAUUAAUGUGUAAAAAGUUUUUGGGUUUUUGCACAAAAUUUAAUUUUUUUAAUGUGUAUUCAUAGAUCUUUCUUCUCUCUCAGAAAAAUCCUCUCUAUAUUUUCUUCAAAAUCAGUAAUAGUAAAUCGAAGACUAGUUUUUCAGUUGUCUGACUAAAAUCUUUGCAAAUAAAUAUUGCAAGUUUUCACAAUUCUCCUCUUUGAGCUUGAAUGAAAUUUGUAUAUUGUGAUAAUUUUUUGUGGUGGGUUUGGUGAUGAGUGAAAAAUUAGUGGUGGUAUGACUUUUUAAUUUUGAUAAUGACAAUGAAACUCGUGAUUUUGAUGUGGAUGGUGUAUGGUUAUGAUUAUGAUGAAUUUAAAUGAUAGUGAUAUGGUUCCGAUGGUGAAUUUAGAUAAAUUUAUGAUGUUUGUUAUCGAUUUUUAUGAUGGCAAUGGUUGUGGGAAGAUUUCGGUGAUGAAUUUGAUUAUGGGUGGUGAAAUAAUCUAUGGUGGUGGAGAAGUAAAUUUGAUGAUAAUAACAACAAUGGUAGUGAUUUAAUAGUGGAUUUGAUGGUGUAUAAGGAAGAAGAAGAAAUUGGGUGACAUGGAUUUUUUUAAAAAGAAAUUUCUGACGUAAUUAUUGAUGUGGCAAUGACACGGUGAUGACGUGGCACAAGUGUGAAAUACUUUCUCAUCAUGUAACUGCAGGUUGUAUAUGCGUCAGGGGUAAAAUAAAUUCACUUUUAAGUAAUUCAGGUGUGUAAUAGGUUGUCACAAUAGUACUCCCUCCGUCCACUAUUAAUUGUCAUACUUUCCAUUUUAGAAGUCAAACUAUAAAAACUUUGACUAACAUUUUAUGAUAUAUUUUUUCAUCAUAUUGAUAUGUAAAAAAUUGCAAUUUAUAGUACUUUUCAUAUAGUUUUUGACUAUCUAAAUUUUUUGUUUAAAAUAUUGAAUUAAUGUAAUCUAAUUUAACUUUGAAAAUAAGUCAUAACAUUCAAACAUUCAUCAAUAUAUAUUCAUAACAUUCAAACAUUCAUCAUAUAAUACUCAAAACACUUCAAUUACUAAUCUAACUUCAAAUUAACACUUUACUAACUAACAAUCAAUCAAAAUUUUAAAUAAAAUCCUAAAUUCAAAAAUCUUCAAUUCAUAACCUAAUAAUAAUCCUAAUUCAAAUCUUGAAAACCCUAACAAAAAUCCUAAUUCAUUCACUAACUAACAAUGCCCAAUUCAAAAUAUGCCUAAUUUUAAAAUAAAUCCUAAAUUCAAAAAUCUUCAAUUCUAUAUACCUAACUAACAAUAAUCAAAUCAAAUUAAUAAUUGCUUAACCACAACCCAAUAAACUAAAACAAUAAUAUACUAACUAAAAACCAACUAUAAUCACAAGAAUUGAAAAAAACCUACAAUUAAGAACUAACUUAAAAUGAGGAGAGAGGCAGCGGCGGCAGCGACCGGCAAACAGCGAGGGAAGGAGCUGGGGCGGCGUCUUGCGGCGGCGUAUGGAGGUGGCGGCGACGGAAUAGAGUGAAGAGAGAAGGGAGAGAAUAGAGAAGAAGAGAGAGAACAAAACUAGAAAUCCAGAUCUAGUCAAGAUAUUUUAAAAGAAGCGACGGACAACGUCUCUUUGUCCGUCACUUUUCUUAAAUGUUUGACCAAACAUUUUGACUAAAAAGCGAUGGACUUUGAGAUGUUGUCCAUCGCUUCUUUAAAAAAUUAAUUAAACAAUUCAUUAUUAAUUAUAUAUAGUGUUGGCGUAAAAAUCCGCAAAAAAAAAAAAGCGAGAACGGCAUCAUUAAAUAAAAAAUUAUUUUUAUUAAAAAGCGACGGACAAUGUAGCUAAUGACGUCCCUUUUUGGAGCGACGCCGUCCGUCGCUUUUAUGUCCGUCAUUUUUUAGCAGUUUUUUAGUAGUGGUAUUACUCCCUCCGUCCCAUUUUAUAUGACACUUUUCGAAUUUCGAGAUUCAAACAAGUCUAAUUUUGACCAUAAAUUUUUUAUAGAUCGUUUAAACAUUUUGAAUUAUCAAUUGUUGUGACUUAUAGUACUUUUUAUGUAGUUUACAAAUAUAUAAAUUUUAUUCUUUUUUAAAAUGAAGAUUUCAUGCGCAAAUUCCCAAUCAAACUGAAACUGUUUGACUCUCGAAAAACGAAAAAUGUCAUUUGGGAUAGAGGGAGUGGGGUAAAAAAUACUUUCCUAAAAAGAUAAAUAAAAAUUUUACUUAAAUUUUUUUUCUACUUGUGUACCGAAUAUAACAUAAUUAAAAAAUUUAUUUAAAAAAAUUCUUGCGGCGGCAAGUAAAAAAUACUUUCCUAAAAAGAUAUGUAUAUAUAUCUAAAACAAAACGAGAAUUUUUUUUUGAAGCAAAGGGUUAGGUGAAGUGCGGUAGAAUUAUUCUUUAUUAAUAUCUAAAUUAUUAUUUGAAGGGGCUGGGGGAGAAAGAUUAAAUAAAAAUAAAUAAAUACUUUUAUAAAAGAAAUUUAAACAAAAAAAUUAAAAAUGGGUGGGUGGGGUAUUUGUGUAUUAAGAAAGUUAAGGGUGACAUUGGGGAUUUGUGUAUUGAAAUUAAAUAAAUACUAUUAAAUUAUUUAAUUUUUGUCAAGGUGGAAUGUUUUGUCCACUUGGAGUGUGAUGUGAUAAUUUUUUUUAAAAAUAAAAGAGAGUGUAGUACACACCAUGAAGAGAAUGUAAUAAAAGAGAGGAGUGUGUUUAUCAAACUAAUAAGUGAUAGUUUAGUUAUGAAACUCACACUCUCAAUAGUUUAGUUAUGAAACUAAAAAAAAAUAGAUGAUUUAGAUGUGCUUUUGACAUUUAUCUCCGAAAAUCCUUCUAUUGAAUCUUUCAGUAGGAUCACAAAUGAUUUACCAAUUUUUUUUGCGUAAAAUUAUUUGAUAACCAACAAAAUAUAUCUUGAAUAGAUAUGCAAAUUUUAUUUUUUUUAAAAAUUAUUAUGAUUAUGAUAUAUUUUAACUUAGCUUUUAAAUAUGUAAAUUUUAUUUUUUAAAAAUUUCAACAAUUAUGCUUAAACUCACCAUCAAAAUUAAAUUAAUUAACUAUUGUAAUUCAAAGAAUGUUAUGGAGUACUUCUAAAUAGCAAUAGGAUUAAUAUAGCCGGGUUGACGUUACAGUUGGGAGGUCAAAAACACUUAUUUUGAGAAAAAAAAAAAUUUUAUAAAAAAUUUAAGCAUUUGACAAAUGAGUAAAACUACUUUUAAAUGAAAGCAAAACAAUUUUUUUUUUACUAUUGAAAAGAAACUUAACAUUUCUAUUUCUUAAAAAAAAAAAAUAGAAAAUUAUAUUUUCCUCUGACUUAAAAAGGGGUUUUAUCGCUAAAGAGCCGACACUUUCGCUGACGUAACAAGAUUAGAAGCCCACUGGUGACUGGACAAGCUGGACGGUUAAUCUGUUAUCUACAUGUACUUUAAAAAUGAGUAGGCAGUAGAUAAAAUUUUAUCCAGCUCAUUUUCUUAAAAUCCCCGUGUGUAUAUAUAUAUCUUAGCUUUUUCUUCUCAUACCAAAAUACUAUAAUCAUAUUUCACUAUAUUAUCUUAGUCUCUUAAAUAUAUAAUUUUAAUUAAGUAUUAUUAAUACGAUCAUAUAUUUAUAUAAGAGUCUUUUGAAAAUAUAUUACUAUUAUUAAAAUCGGCGAUUUUUUUCACUAAAUCAAACAGAAUCUUCAAAUGCGACAAAGGCAUACUACGUACAUUAUAUACAUGAAGGAAUGUCAGUGCAGAUAAAUCAUACGUAAUAAUACAUAUAAAUCAAACUAGGUCAAAUGAAAAUUUCUAAAUUUCACCUUCUACAUUAAUUACACUAUAAUUAUAUUAAUUACGAUGUAAUUACAUUAUAACAGAGAAACAAGUUAUCGUUAUAACUAUAUUAUUAAAUUACUAUUUCUAAUAAUUAUAAUAAUUCUAAUUACCACAUAAUUUUUUGAACAGGCCCUGAAUAAACUGAAGAGUAUCUUUACGUAAAUAUAUGGCACAUCAAUUUUAUAUUUUUGUAAUUUUUUUUAAUCUAUAUGUAAAUAUAUCAGGUACACUUCACUAAGGAAUCAAAAAAAUUUAGAAAAAGAAUAUUAUUCGUGAUGAGCUGGAGCCAACCAUCUAUUAGUUAAUCAUAUUAAAUUACAGUAGUCAAAAUCGUAAAAACAGUAGUUGAGUAACCGACUUCACAGUCUAAAAAUUUGACUUGCUGACUUUUGUUUCUAUAAAUACUUGCAUAUCAAACACUAGCUAGAUAUAUAGAUACACAUUUAUUUUUUGUUGUUGCUUUUAGUAAGCAUGGGUUCGUUUAUGUCAAAAUUGCAACCUAUUAAAGUGAGUUCGGAGAUCACAAGUAAUGUAGUUUUGUCUAAGCUGGCUACUAACGAACAACAUGGCGAAAAUUCUUUAUAUUUUGAUGGGUGGAAAGCAUACGACAAGGAUCCUUUCCACCCUGUGAAUAACCCGAAUGGAGUUAUUCAAUUGGGUCUCGCUGAAAAUCAGCUUUCGAUUGACAGGAUUGAAGAUUGGAUUAAGAGAAAUCCAAAAGCUUCCAUUUGCACACAUGAAGGGAUUGAAUGUUUCAGGAGGAUCACAAACUUCCAAGACUAUCAUGGCUUGCCUGAAUUCACCACUGUAAGUACAACUUAUGAUUUUGAUACCUCUCAUUCUCUUUCAUUUCCAGGCAUAACUUGUAUCCGCCACCUCACACAUCCACCUUUUAGAUUCUCUCGCGCAGGAGCGAAUCUAUGUGCGUGCAUGGGUGGGGCUAUUACCGCAGCCAGUGACCUCAACUAAAACUUUGUAUAAAUAUGUGUAUAUAUAUUUCACUUGUCAUCCAUAUAUAAUUAACACUGAAUUUUUUACGUUUUGCUUGUGAGCGCGCUUCUGCUCUUCCUUCCUUCCUUUUUUUUUUUCCAUUAAUGUGUGUAAGAAUUCUGUUUUCUUUCUUUCUUUCUUCUUCAUUUGUUAUGAGUACAUAUCUAUUUUAUUAAUUAUUUUUUGGUUGACUUAAUUUUUUAUUAUUUUUAUUGACUUUCUCUUUCAUUAAAUAUUAGUAAUAUUUAAUUGAUAAGAAUGUAUGUCGUGUGUUUAUUCUAUAUCAAUUAUAGAUUAAUAUUAAAUUAUGAAAAUCUCAUUAAUACUAACAAAUAUAUUUUGAUUUUUUUUUUUUAAAUGAAGGAUAUUAUUAUGUUAAAGUUUUUGAAUUUAAAGGUUCUUUCAAUCUUUCAAGUAAAACUAAAUGGAAAGAAUUGGGUUGAAGCUAUAAAAAAAUUUCUCAACUAUAUGAUAUUAGAUAAUUUAUAUAAAUUCAAAUUUUUAACCUGAAAAAAUUCGUGUUUUCUCCUAGAGAAUAAGGUCUUUUAUUCCUAAAAAAGAAUAUCCAAAAAUCAAACUACUUCGACAAAUAUAUUUAAUAUUAGAAUAUCAACAAGAAAACAUUACUGAAUAUCCGCCUCUGCUCUCCUCUGCGCAUUCCAUUUUUACAUUCCUCACUAUUUUUUACACUAAAAUAGUGUAUGAACAAUAUCACAUCAAAUUUAGCAUGACACUAUUUAGUGUGACAUUAUUCAACAAUACCACAUCACUUUUUUAUUAUUUUAUUAUUACUUUUAUUAUAUAUUCUUUUUUUUAAAAAAAAUAAAAAAAAUAUAAUAUUGAGGAAAGAUAAAACUAUUCCUUUUUAAUAGGGCUGUACGUGACCGGAUUGGUUAGAGUUUUUUAAAUAUCAAACUAAAUUAUUUGUGUAAAACAUUUAAAUUUAUAAACCAAACAAAACUAAUGAAAUUCGGGGUUUUUCAACCUCGGGUUGGUUCGGGUUUUUCAAAUACCAAACCAUUGUGUCAAAUUUUUAAAUUUUUAAAUCAAACAAAACUAAUAAACCUCAGAUUUUUUUCAAGUUUUUGGAUUUUUCCGAUAAAGUAUGCAUACAAACAUAUAAUUAACUUGUGCUUCAAAUAUUUCUUUAGUUCAAUCAAAAAUACAACUAUCUAAGGUGUUCUUAAGAAAAUAACACAAAAUAUGAGAUGAGUGAUGACACUAAAAUAUUCAAUAAAAAAUAAUAAUGAAAGUAUCAUAUAAAAUAAAUAUUGCAAAGUCAUAAUGAAAAUGAUCAUAAUUUAAAAAUACUAAAUCAUGCUAAAAUAAGUCUAAUAAGUAUUAGUUACAUGAUUAAACAUUAAAGAAAAAUUAAAAUUAGAUUAUGUAUUUUAAAUGUCUAAACCAAUGUAAAAACGAAAGAACAAAUAUUAACAUUAUUUUCAUUCUUAGUAUUGAAUUAAUUUAUUUUGUUAGCAUAGUAUUGAUUUGAUUUCGAAUUGAUCUUUAUUAGAGUUACUAAUAUCUAUAGACUAUAACCUUUAUUGAAACAUUCAAAAUUCUAAGUCUCAAAAAACUUUUAAAAAUAUGUUAAAAGACAAAAAAUAUAAAUUUUAUAAGUAAUAUUUAGAAAUUAUAUCAAAGUAAAUACUUUUAUGUAUAAAAUAAAUUUUAAAAAUUAUAUAUAUAAUAUCGGGUUGGUGUGAUUUCAGGUUGACUUUUUUUUUAGUUAAAACCAAACCAAUUCAAGUACAGUUGAAUUUUUUUUUCCCAAUACCAAACCAUUAAUCAGUUUUUUCUGCAAUUUGAUGUUAUGAAUUGGAGAUGCCAUAAAUAUUGUGGUUUGAGAGUGGAGGGGGAGAGAAGAGAGAAUUUUUUUUAUCAUACUUAAAUUCUUUUGCUUAAUUAAAAGGACAAAUUUCAAAAUCAUAGAGUUGUACAUGAUGAGCUGGACAGAUCCUAUAGCUUCAAAGUGAAUUUGUUUCAUGCUAAAAUAAUAGGGCCAGCGCUCAAAACAUAUUUAUAAUUAUUCACCUUGACCUUAUUUUAUUUUCUGUUUUUUUUUCAGGGAAUUGCAAAACACAUGGAAAAAACAAGACAUGGUAAGGUUAAUUUUGAUUCAAAACGUAUAGUAAUGGCUGGUGGAGCUACUGGAGCUAACGAGGCUCUCAUCUUUUGUUUGGCUAAUCGUGGCGAUGCUUUUUUAGUCCCCACACCUUAUUACCCAGGGUAUGAAUGAAGUUUAAGUUAUAUAUAUUAACCGUAUAAUUUUUUUUGUAGUUAUUAUAUAUAUUGGGGAAAAUGCAUAAGUUCCCCCCUAGCCUAUAUCCGAAAUCUCAGAGACACACCUAACCUUUACUAAGGUCCUAUUACCCUCCCGAACUUAUUUUUUAAUUAAUUUUUUACCCCUUUUGGGCCUACGUGGCACUAUCCUUGAAAAAAUUGUCAAUGUGGGCUGGGCCCACAAGAUAGUGCCACGUAGGCCGAAAAAGGGUAUAACAUUAUAUAUAAAAUAAGUUCGGGGGGGUAAUAAGACCUUAGUAAAGGUUAGAUGUGUCUUAGGGAUUUCGGGCAUAGGCUAGGGGGUACUCGUGCAUUUUCCCUAUGUAUUGUGUAGAUUACUAAUUCAUAUUUUCAACUUAAUGCAGAUUCAAUAGGGACCUAUGUUGGAGAACUGGUGUACAACUUGUACCCAUUUCAUGCAAUAGCUCUAAUAAUUUCAAAAUUACUCCAGAAGCUCUCAAAGAGGCAUAUGAAAAAGGUCAACAAGAAAAAAUCAAAAUUAAAGGCUUGAUUUUGACCAACCCUUCUAAUCCAUUAGGCACUACUUUGGAUAGGGAUACACUGAAAAAAAUCUUGAUCUUCACUAACGAACAUAACAUCCAUCUUGUUUGUGACGAAAUCUAUGCUGGUACCGUGUUUGAUGCUCCACGAUUCGUCAGCAUCGCUGAAAUCAUUGAGGACGAUGGAAUUUGUGUUAAUAAAAAUUUGAUACAUAUUGUGUCUAGUCUUUCCAAAGACAUGGGUUUUCCAGGAUUUCGAGUGGGAAUUGUGUAUUCCUUCAAUGAUGAUGUGGUUAAUAAUGCUAGAAAAAUGUCGAGCUUCGGUCUUGUUUCUACUCAAACACAAAAUUUUCUAGCUUCCAUGCUAUCUGACGAUGAAUUUAUCGAAGAAUUUCUUACUGAAAACACCAAGAGGUUAAGGAAACGGCACGAGAAAUUCACUAGCGGACUUGAAAAAAUCGGAAUCAGAUGCUUAAAAAGCAAUGCUGGGGUUUAUUGCUGGGUGGAUUUGAGGACUCUAUUGAAAGAGCCAACACUUGAUGCUGAGGUGUCACUAUGGAAAUUGAUCAUAAACAACGCGAAGCUCAACAUCUCGCCUGGAUCUUCAUUUAAUUGCCCCGAAGCAGGGUGGUUCCGAAUCUGUUUUGCGAAUAUCGAUGAUCGAACGGUGGAGAUCGCACUCAAAAGAAUUCAAAUAUUUGUGGAUGCUAAUAACGAUAUUAAUGAAAAUGGAAUCGUGAAGAACGCAUCAGUGAAAGGGAAAUGAUUUACAAAUAUAGACUUCAUGAACGAAAAGUAGUACGUAUAAUAAAAUUAAUAUUAUGAGCUUGAAUAUGUUGUCUCCUAAUUUUCUGAUUGCUAAGGAGAAUAAAGAAGAAAUUGAAGUUUUUUUUUUUUUUUUUUUUUUUUGUUAUAAAAAUUAUAUGAAAAAUGUUCGUACCGUGGCCUUAUUAUGAGUAAUAAUAAUGUUUUUUAUUUGAUCUUUACAAAUGCAUAUUUUUCCCUUGAAAAAAUGACACAAAUAAUUUCUUGUGACAAUUAAUUUUUCUCUAUCUGCUAUUGUUGCAACUUUGUAGUACUUGCUACUUUAUUUUUUAUCACACUCCAAUUAAAGACUAACAAAAUAUAAUGACCAAGUAACAAAUUUAUCACUACUUAUUAGUUACUCUCUCUGUCCACCACUGUUAGUUGUCAUGAUGCGUUUUUCAAAAGUCAAUUUGGCUAAUUUUCAAAGUUAAAUUAGAGUACAUUAGUUCGAUAUUUUAAACAAAAAAUUUAGAUAAUCAAAAACUAGACGAAAAGUACUAUAAAUUGUAUUUUUUUUUUUGCAUAUCAAUAUGAUAAAAAAAUACAUCAUAAAAUAUUAGUCAAAAUUCUUAUAGUUUGAUUCUAAAAAAGGAAAUUAUGACAAUUAAAAGUUGACGGAGGGAGUAUUAAGACUCUUUCUUGGGGAAUAAAUAAUUCAAAAGAUAAGAGUAAAGUUUAGUGGUUUUUGUGUUAGAAAAAACAGUUAAAUGUAUUGAUGAAAAAGAAUAAUCAUAGUUAUGUAAUUAUUUAAAGAAAUUUAAAUUUCAAGAAUCACAACUUCAAAAUACGACCAAACAUAAAACUAACCAUUUCCGUCAUUUUGAGUUUCACUUUCUCAAGCUCCGUCCAGUCUCCGACGACUUCUCCGACGAGUCCCUUGCCACCAUCUGUGUUUAUCUCUCUAUUUCCUUCAUCUUUCUUUUUAUAUUUACAUAUAAAGGUACCUUCAAAAAAGUAGUAGUUCUACUUAACUCCCUUUUUGACAAAACCAAAAAGUAGGGUGAGUAACUUUGCCAAUUGGGAGGAGAAGGUGACAAAAUAUUUAUGUAUUAUUCUAAAUAAUGAAGUCAAGUGGAUGUUCAUGUGGGGCUACUCUACUGUAGCAAAUUUCCUUGCCCAAGUCAUAUAUUACUUUAAAGUUGACACCAAUUUUCAUUUAGACACUUUAAUUAGAUUUUGUUUAUUUUUAGACAUCUUACGUAAAUUUUUCUUGUGUCAUUUUGACACUUUUUAUAGACACGUCAUAGAGAGUGUGAUCCACUCGUUUAUUGUGCUAGAAAAGUUUUUUAAUCAAUUUUUAAUUAUUUUUUCUUCUUCUUCUUCUCCAUUUUCAGCCUCCAUUUUUCAAGCUUAACUCCAUCCAUGGCAAAUGUUUUAAAAAUUUAAGAAAAGACCUAUUUCAAGAUUUAAAUAUUGAAAUAGUCAUGAAAUUCUUUUUUGGAGGAAUUUACUAUUGUAAUAUGGAAGUGGAUGUGAUUUUUCCUCUUCCUUCAAGGUUUCACUGGCCUUCAAACUUUGCUUUCACUGUAAGUGCUUUUUUUUUUUUCCAGUUAAUUUUAAUGAUUUAUAUUCAAUUUUACUGUUUUGUUAUUGAUUAAGAAGAAUGUGAAUUCAUGACUUAGCUUUAUUCUUCUAUAAUAAAAGGGCUAGUGUAUGAUUGAGAAGUGGGGUUGGGGUAGGGCAGCGUUUCUGCAAAAUAGUUAUUUUGGAGAAGACAAUUUAGAAGGUUGCAAAAUAUUUUUUGUUAAUUGGUUAAAUGUUUUUUUAAUUAUGUGGGCAAAAAUGCCACAUGUCAUUGAUUCAUUGGCUACUUUUUAUUUUUCUCAAAAUUCAUUAUUUAAGAAUGAUUUUAGGCACAAAUGACAAAUGUCGUCAUUUAAUUAAAAACUUUACGCGUCAUUCGCGAGUGCAUUACACACACAUUACAUAUUUUUGCUGAUUGUAAAGAAAGUAUCAAAAUGACACAACAUGACCUUACAUGAAGUGUCUAAAAUGAACUUUAUAAAUAAUUCACCCGAUUGUUAUCUAACCACUCAUGUAAUCAGAAUCAUAAAUAAUUCGCCCGAUUGUUACAUGAUUUCCCUUCAACUUAAAGACUCUGAUUUCGUCCAAAUCUUGACAAGGUUGGGAAAAUCCAAAAGAUAUUCAUUGAAAAAGACACUAACAAAAGAUAUUUAGUUUGUGAAUCAUUUACCUUGUUUCCUUGAGAUUCAAGUUUGGCUUGGAGCAAUUCUUCAAAGAAAAGAAUUUCGUCGAUUUUUCGCUGCAAAAGAUAAGGUACACAAUUCGUCGAUUUCUUUCUAUAGAUCCAACAAAUGGCAUUAAAGCCAGGUUUAAUUGUUCCCUGUUUGAAUAAUGAUUGAAAUUCUCUGGUUGAAUGAAUUGAGAAAUUUGAAAUAUGAUUAUAAAUAUAUUUAUCUUUGUCCAUUAUCGAUCUGUUUUCUUUUGGUUACUCGAUAUUCCUUUAUGAGUAGGAAAAAGAGAAAAGAUUUACUGACUUGAGUAUUUUUUCUUCCUUAUGGUUCUUUCAUUGAAUUUUGUUGAAGUUUUGUUUGUUGUUUCUCAUUUUUUUUCCCAUGAAAGUAACGGGAGAAGAUGAGUAAUAUUUAUAAAGAGUUAUUUUAUAGGUUGAAAAGGAAAAAGAUUUUGAGUUGAAUAAGAACUUGAAAAAGUCAACUUCUAUUUUUUUUUUGUUAAUAAAUAAAAAAAAUAAAAAUUGGAAGAGAGUUUAAGGGACAAGUCAUAUUCUUUUUGUUAAGGAUUAAAAGAGAAAAAUAAAAUGGUCUCACAACUUUUUCCAAUUGGAACGUGUGAACCUUUCCCUUCUUUUUUUUUUUGUCCUUUUCUAUAAGGAUUAAAGAGGAAAAAAAUUGUCCCACUAUUUAAAUAAAAAGAAAAAUGGAGUUUCUUUUUGUCCUUUUCUAUUAAGGAUUAAAAAGAAAAAAAAAAUGGUCCAAUUUUUUUUAUAAAAUACUUAUACCAUUUUCUUUGGUAUCAUAAAGAACUAUUUUUUUUUUAAUGAAGAAUAGACAAUGGUUUUGUAGUAUUUUUUUUAUGUUAACAAAGUAUUUAUUUUAUUAUUUACUUUAACAUAAGAUUUUUCAAGUGGUCAAAUUAGAUUGUGGUUGACUUUGAAUUUUUUUUGUAAAGCCAUAAGUUAUCUUCUUUACUUAACGAAGAAUAGUGAUAACUUGUUUUGACUAGAUUAUAAUUUUAAUUAUGUGUAUUAAAAUUGGUCUUGAAAAAAUCUCUUAGUCCUUUAAAUUCCUUAAACGGUUCCUUGUCUCCUACGAGAAAUUUGUGACAUACGUUAUCGCAUUAAAUGGUAUUAACUAUAUUUCCGUUUUUAUUUCCAUUUCAGAUAUGGUUGAACGGAAACAUGCUCAAAUUACUCCAAGUGGGAGUUCUCAAAGUCGAGCAAAGGGACAAGAUAGGAGAGCAAGCCGUCGUAAGACAUGUUUCUGAGGGCGUGAAAUCAUAAGAUUGGUGUCCCAAGGGCGACACAAAAUCUGUCAAGGAACCAAAGGGUCAUUCGAAGGGAAAAAGAGAAAAAAUUUAAAGUGUUUGAGUCAUUGAAGAUGUUCCCUAAUAUGUCAGCACGUGAUUUUAUUCACCUUUUUGAAAUAAAUGAGUUGAACUGGCUGAUUAAAAGGAAAUUUCAGAUUGGAGAGUCUUAGCUUAUUUAACAGACGCUCUCCAUGAACCUUGGGGUAGUAGAUUGACUGAUUUUUAUCAUGACAUUUGGUUUAGGGUUUACAUUUGUUGUCUUGAAGACUUGUGGGAGGAUUUCAGUCUUUGAAUUACUUGUAAAUUUUUAUUGCUUAUUUGUUUUUCAAGAUAUGAAUUAUGUAGUUUGUUUUCUCUCAAAUUAUGUUAUUAGACUUAAAAAUUCUUGUUAUCAAAGUCUUCAAUAUAUUAAUUAUACACAUUAAGAAAUUAGAUUUGAAUUUUGAUUAAAUAUUUAGUUUGUAGAUGAUUAUUGGAUGCAUACGUGUCUUUUUGAUUUUACAUUAAAUAUGAAAUCUUUAUGAGAAUUAAUUUGCUUGAAUGUGUAUGUCGCAUGCAUAAUUGAUUAAAAUUCUUGCCUAAUUAUAUGUCAAUAACAGACAUGGCAUCAAAAAGAAUCAUUGCUGACUUAAACAAAGGUGAAAAAUUUAACGGUGGUAAUUACGACAUCUGGAGUCGUAAAAUAUGACAUGUACUGGAAGAGAUUUUUUUUUGGAAGGUAUAAAUCAUGUUUUGAAUCAACCAGAAGAGGGUAAUACUACACAACACAAAAGGGAUCUUGAAGCUUACAAAGCUUGGAAAAAGGCUAACUCUACUGCACGUGGAAUAAUAGUUAGUUCUAUAGUUGAUGACCUCAUACAUGAAUGUGAGAAAUUCCCUACUGCUCAUGCUAUGUGGACAUAUCUGCGAGGAAUGUAUGGGGGUACGUCUGUAACCCACCUCCGACAGUUGACUAUCAAAUUUGACACUUACAAAAAGUGUCAUGAUCAGAAUAUCAAACAACACCUUAGGGUGAUGUCAAACAUGAUAGCUCAACUCAAGAGUGUUGGUCAUGUUCUUUCAGAUGAACAACAAGUUCAGGCAGUGAUUCGGUCUCUUCCCAAUAAUUGGGAAUAUUUGAAGGUUAACUUGACCCAUAAUGAUAGCAUCAAAACUUUUUCCGAUGUUGCAUGCCAUGUUGAACUAGAAGAUAAGCGCCUUGGUGCUGCUAAAACUGUUUCUAAUGCCUUUGUGGCAGAGUCAAGUGGUACAAAAUCUUCAGGUUUCAAGCGCAAGAAAAAUUGGAAAAGACAAAGACACUGGAGAAAGACCCUCUAAGAAAAAGAAGAAAAACUCCAAGAAAGGAAAACGGUUUUUCAAGAAGAAAGACAAGAGUAAAAUGAAGUGCUACAAUUGCCAAGAAUUGGGGCAUUUUUCUCGUGAAUGUAUUGAGCCCAAAAAGGUAGCAUUUUUAAACGCAUCUCUAAGUGCUACAUAUGUUUUAGCACUUCUUUACUAACUGAAUCUUAUCCUAUGUGGAUUGUAGACUCAGGAUCCACCGACCACGUGAGUCGAGAUAGAGAGACGUUUGUGGAGUUUCAUCGAGUUUCAUCUAAAUCAAGGUGGAUCUAUGUGAGAAAUAAUGCUAAACUAGAAGUCAAAGGGAUAUGCGCAUGCAAAGUAAACUUGUGUGGUGGCCGUUCUUUGAUGUUGCAUGACAUCCUAUAUGCACCAAAGAUUCGACGAAACUUAGUAUUUAUGGUUGUUCUUUCAGACGUUGGUUUUUAUUUAUUUUUUAGUCACAAUGGUAUUAGAAUAACUCUAGAUAAUGUUUUAUAUGGUUUUGGACUUUGUUAUGACCAUUUUAUCGUAUUAGAUUGUAAUCAUUCAACUUAUGACUAUUAUGUUGACCGUUGUGUAAUGACAUGUUAUUCGAGUAACAAUGAUGUUGAUGCUAUUACAUGGCAUGCACGAUUAGGUCACAUAAGGCAAGAUCGAAUGAAUAAGUUGGCAAAAGAAGGGCAUUUAGGCUCUUUCACCAAAAUUGAAAUGCCAACUUGUGAAAAUUGUCUUGCUGGAAAGAUUAAACCAUUUGGGAAGGCUAAGAGAGCUGAGUUCCCACUUCAAUUAAUUCAUUCUGAUAUUUGUGGUCCAAUGUAAGGGCGAGGUCUGGUGCUACAUACUUAAUUACAUUUUUUGAUGAUUUCACAUGUUUUGGUUAUCUCUAUUUGAUUUAUCAUAAAUCUGAAGCACUUGAGUGCUUUAAAAGAUAUAUGAAUGAAGUUGAAAAUCAAUUAUAUAAAAGCAUAAAAGUUUUAAUAACCGAUCGAGGACGUGAAUAUUUGUCAAAACAGAUUGAAGAAUUAUGUACUGAAAAGGGUAUUAUCAGACAGUUAACUACUCCUUAUACACCUCCACAAAAUGGUAUAGCUGAAAAAAGGAAUAUAACAUUAUUAGACAUGACAAGAUUAAUGAUGGCGCAGGCAAAUUUGCCUAUCUCUUUCUGGAGAGAUGCAUUAUUGACUGCUGCUUACAUUUUGAACAAAGUGCCUUCUAAAUCAGUGUCUUCCACUCCUUAUGAACUUUGAACUGGUCAUAAAACAAACCUAAAUGAUCUACGACCGUGGGGUUGUGCAGCAUACAUUAAAGAUCGUUUUGGUGAGUUUGGUAAACAAAGUCCAAAAGGAAAGAAAUGUAUCUUUAUAAGGCACUCUGAACGCUCCAAAAGGUAUGUGUUCAUCGAUGAACUGGAGGAUAGAAGUAUUACUGAAAUUGUAUCACGAGAUGUCAGAUUUUUGGAAAAUGAUUUUCCCAAAAAGGGUGAAAUAGAUGAAGUUGAGCCUCUGUACGAAAUGUUGAAUUCAGAAGAUCAGAUAAUGUUGUCAAACAUACUUGAUAAUUCAAUGGAUCAAGAAAUGAUUCCUAGUCCAAGUGGGAGUUAUGAAUCCCAAAAUCCUAUAGAGAAUUCUGAACUUCAUAUACGUAAAAGUACAAGAAAAGGUGUACCUAAACGAUCUUAUGAUAUUGAGGAUUAUGUUUUCUUGGUAUCUCCUACAGAAUUGGAUGAACCUAAUUCUGUAACAGAUGCCUUAUCAAGCCCUGAAAGAGAUGAAUGGUUAAAAGUGAUGAAAGAAGAAUUAGAGUCCAUGAAAAUCAACAAAGUCUGGGAUCUAGUUGACCUUCCUAAAGAACGUAAAGCUAUUGGGAAUAAAUGGAUUCUUCAAGUUAAACGUAAAUUUUAUGGGUCAAUAGAAAGACACAAAGCACGAUUGGUUGCAAAAGGUUUUACUCAAGAAGGUGGAAUAGACUAUGAGGAAACUUUUUCACCAGUUGUGAAGUUUACAUCCAUACAAUUACUUUUAGCUAUUGUUGCACAUUUAGAUCUAGAAUUACACAAAAUGGAUGUGAAGACCGCUUUUCUCAAUGGAGAAUUAAACGAGGAAAUCUACAUGGAACAACCAGUUGGUUUCGUUGUUAAAGGUCAAGAAAAGAAAGUAUGUAAAUUGAAAAGAUCAAUUUAUUGCCUAAAGCAAUCUUCAUGGCAGUGGUAUCUGAGAUUUCAUAAGGAGGUGAUGUCAUUUGAUUUCACCAUGAUCGAUGAAGACCAUUAUAUCUAUGUGAAAAAUUCCAAUCGAAAUUUUAUAAUUCUUUCUCUUUACGUAGAUGAUAUUUUAUUAGCUGGAAAUAAUUUGGAGUAUGUGAAAACUGUCAAGUCAUAGAUUUCAAAAUCAUUUGAUAUGAAAGAUAUUGGUGAAACAGACUAUAUAUUGGGUGUUACGAUCCAAAGAGAUCGUUCCAAGAAAUUUUUGAGUUUAUCUCAAGAAACUUAUAUAAAGAAAAUAUUGGAACAUUUUUGAAUGAAUAGUUGCAAAUCCAUGGAUACUCUUGUAGCAAGGGGUGAAACUUUAAGCCUUGAAAUGUGUUCAAAGACUGAAAAAGAAAAGGAAGACACACUACUAAAAUACUGCCAAAGAGAGAUAGAAAAAAGCGACGGACUGCGUCGCUUUUUUGGCCAAAAGCAACGGAAAAGCGACGCAGUCAAUCUCGUUGUUUUUUGGCUCGACGCUUUCCGUCGCUUUUGAUUUUUUUAAAUUUUUUUUAUUUAUUUGAAAAAUGUGACGUCAUCCGUUGCUUUUUUUUAUUAUUUAUUUUUAAAAAAGAGACGAAGUCCGUCGCUUUAAUUAAUUUUUAAUAUUUUUAGAAUCUUGAAAGGCGACAAUGAGACGCCGUCCGUCGCUUUUUCGGAAAUAAAAUUUUGAAAAAUCCAAAAAAGUGACGAACUAAAUGACCCUGUCCGUCGCUUUUCUGGGUUUUAAAAAAAAUAAAAUUAAAAAAAGCGACGGACUAAAGGAACCCUGUCUGUCGCUUUUCUGAGUUUUUUAAAAAUUAAAAUACCAGAAAAGACGACGGACAAAACCACUCUGUCCGUCGCUUUUUUUGCAAUUUUUUUGACAGCAGAAACUGGCCUACCCACUUGCAAUUCAAUUCAAUUCAACUCAACCCUAAUCAAACACAAUACAUUAUUAAGAAGCUACACAAGAUAUAAAACAACAAACUUAAAUUAACAUUCAAAAAUAUCUAAAUCACAAUUUAAAGACUUAUAAAGUCUUUCAAAAUUCGUUUCAAAAUUACAAAUAGUUCAUAAAGACUAUAUUUUAUCAAAAUUUCUAAAGUUCAACCUAAUAAUUAGUUCAUAAAUUUUAUAAAUCAAGAUUUCUAAAGUUCACAACCUAAAGUUUAAAAUCCUACAAUAAUCAAAUUUUCUAAAGUUCACAACUUAAAGUUCUAAAAUUUCCACAAUAAUUCAAGAUUUAUAAAGUUCACAACCUAAAGUUCUAAAAAUCCUACAAUAAUUCAAGAUUUCUAAAGUUCACAACCUAAAGCUCUAAAAUCCUACAAAAUUCAAAUUCUCUAAAAUUCACAACUUAAAGUUCUAUAAUUCUACAAUAAUUCAAGACUUCUAACAUUUCACAACCUAAAGUUCCUACAAAAAAUCAAGUUCUCUAAAGUUCUAAAUUCCUACAAUAAUUCAAGAUUUCUAAAGUUCACAACCUAAAGUUCUAAAAUCCUAAAAUAAUUCAAGAUUUCUAAAGUUCACAACCUAAAGUUCUAAAAUCCUAAAAUAAUUCANNNNNNNNNNNNNNNNNNNNNNNNNNNNNNNNNNNNNNNNNNNNNNNNNNNNNNNNNNNNNNNNNNNNNNNNNNNNNNNNNNNNNNNNNNNNNNNNNNNNNNNNNNNNNNNNNNNNNNNNNNNNNNNNNNNNNNNNNNNNNNNNNNNNNNNNNNNNNGUUCUCUAAAAUUCACAACUUAAAGUUCUAAAGUUCUAAAAUUUUAUAAUUAUUCAGGAUUUCUAACGUUUCAUAACCUAAAGUUCGUACAAAAAUUGAAGUUCUCUAAAGUUCACAACUUACAGUUCUAAAAUCCUACAAAAAUUCAAGUUCUAUAAUGUUCACAACUUAAAGUUCUAAAAUCCUACAAUAAUUCAAGAUUUCUAAAGUUCACAACCUAAAGUUCUAAAAUCCUAAAAUAAUUCCAGAUUUCUAAAGUUCACAACCUAAAGUUCUAAAAUCCUAAAAUAAUUCCAGAUUUGGUUUCUAAAGUUCUAAAAUCCUACAAUAAUUCAAAUUCUCUAAAGUUCACAACUUAAAGUUCUAAAAUCCUACAAUAAUUCAAAAUUUCUAAAGUUCACAACCUAAAGUUCUAAAAUCCUAAAAUAAUUCCAGAUUUCUAAAGUUCACAACCUAAAGUUCUAAAAUCCUAAAAUAAUUCCAGAUUUCUAAAGUUCACAACCUAAAGUUCUAAAAUCCUAAAAUAAUUCCAGAUUUCUAAAGUUCACAACCUAAAGUUCUAAAAUCCUAAAAUAAUUCCAGAUUUCUAAAGUUCACAACCUAAAGUUCUAAAAUCCUAAAAUAAUUCCAGAUUUCUAAAGUUCACAACCUAAAGUUCUAAAAUCCUAAAAUAAUUCCAGAUUUCUAAAGUUCACAACCUAAAGUUUAAAAUCCUACAAUAAUNNNNNNNNNNNNNNNNNNNNNNNNNNNNNNNNNNNNNNNNNNNNNNNNNNNNNNNNNNNNNNNNNNNNNNNNNNNNNNNNNNNNNNNNNNNNNNNNNNNNNNNNNNNNNNNNNNNNNNNNNNNNNNNNNNNNNUAAUUAAUUAGUUAUAUUCAAGUUCCAAGUUUAAGUUCAACUUCAAGUUCUAAAUUCAAGUUCAUAUCUAGUUAUAUAUAAACUUCUAAUCCAACAAUUAGUUAUAUAUUCAAGUUCUAAUUCAAAAAAAACCUCAUCGAUCAAUAUAUAUUCAUGACAUUCAAACAUUCAGCACUAUAUUGUCAUGACAUUCAAACAUUCAUCAUAUACACUUCAAUUACUAAUUUCUAACUUCAAAGUAACACUUUACUAACUAACAAUAUAUCAAUCAAAUUUAAAAAAAAUCUCAAUUCACAAUCAAAUUACAUAUUCUCAAGUUCAAACUAGUCCUAAAUUCAAAAAACCCUAAUUCAUUCACUAAUUACAAUACCCAAUUUAAAAAUGCCCAAUUUAAAAGAAAAUCCUAAAAUAAAAAAUCUCCAAUUCUCUACCUAACUAACAAUAAUCAAAUCAAAUUAACAAUAGCACAACCCAACAUACUAAAACAAUAAUAUACUAACUAACAAUCAACUAUAAUCACUAGAGUUGAAAAAAAAACAACCUAAAAUUAAACACCAACCUUAACAAAGAAGAGAGGCGACGGACGGCGACGGGCAAGGGCAGCACGACGGCGGUGGAGGCAGCAGGCGGUGGAGGGAGAUCGAUAGAGAGAAGGGAGAGAAUAAAAGUGAAGAGAGAAGAAGAGAGAAGAAAAUAAGACAAUCCCGAUCUGGGUCAAAGAUAAUUUAAGAAAAGCGACAGACAACGUCUCUUUGUCCGUCCCUUUUUUAAAAAUACUUGACCAAAAUUUUGACCAAAAAAGUGACAGACUAAGAGAUGCUGUCCGUCGCUUUUCAUAAAUGUUUGACCAGUCAUGUUGACCAAAAAGCGACGGACUUAGAGAUGAUGUUCGUCGCUCCUUUAAAAAAAUAAUUAAUCAAUUAAUUAUUAAUUAUAUAUUUAUUUGACGCAAAAAUCCGCAAAAAAAAAGUGACGGACUAAGAGAUGCUGUCCGUCGUUUUUUGAAAAAUAAUUUAAAAAAUAAUUAUUUUUAUUAAAAAGCGACGGACAUGUGGUAAAUGGCGUCUCUUUUCUGUCCGUCGUUUUUUAGCAGUUUUUUAGUAGUGACAUGUCUCGAGUUCCUUUUUCUAGUGUUGUCGGGAGUUUGAUGUAUGCUAUGAUGUGUACUCGCCUAGACAUUUGUUAUGUCGUGAGUCUAGUUAGCAGGUAUCAAUCCAAUCCUGGAAGAGAUCAUUGAAAAGUAGUAAAGAGAAUAUUUCGAUACCUAAAGGAAACUACAGAUCAUACACAAUGUUAUAGUGGAUAUGAUUUAUUCGUAAGAGGUUAUACAAAUGCUGAUUGAGCUGGUUACCGGGAUGAUAGAAAAUCAACAUCCGGUUAUGCUUUCUUACUAAAUUGUGGUGCUAUUUCAUGGAAAAGUAAGAAGCAAACUUGCACAACUCUUUCAACCAUGGAAUCUGAAUUUGUGGCAUAUGCGUCUGCAGUACAAUAAGUUGUUCGGUUAAAGAGAUUCUUUGAGCAUUUGAGUAUUGCAAAGAAUUCUAAGGGUCCCAUGAUUCUAUAUUGUGAUAGUCAAGCGGCUAUCGCAUAUGCAAAGGAUCCUAAGUAUCACAUCAAGACCAAACACAUUGACAUCAAGUAUAACUUUGUGAAAGACGUAGUGACAAGUGGAGAAAUAACUUUGCAAUACAUUCCUACACGUGAAAUGAUAACUGAUCCUUUUACGAAGGCCAUCUCUAGAGACUUGUUUGAAAAACAUGUUAAGGCUCUAGGUUUACGUAGAGUAUGAUGAUAUUUCUAUAUUGUAAAAUGACUUGAUUGUUAUUGUUAUGUUGUAAUUUUACUAUCUUUAUAAAAAUCACUUUUUGAAAUGUUCUAAGUAUAAAACAUUUUAAGAAAAUACUUAGAAAAGAGUCGCUACUUAAUUUUUAAGGAAAUUAAGAAAACUUAUAAUUUUCAAAGAUUUAAACAGAAAAAUCAUUUGAAAUUAUCAAAGAGGGUUCGGGGUUCAAUUUACACUUUGAGAAGGGUUUAAGCAUUCGAAGUGUCCGCUAACAUGCGGUUGACCUGCGACUUGACUAAAAUAUAUUUUUUGACUAUUUUUAGAAAAUGAUUUAACAUAAAAAAAUAAUAAUUUAAUAUUUUAUUAACUUUGAGAAAAUAAUUAAAUAAAUGACACUUUUUAUUUUUAUUUUUUAGAGAAAAGGAUUCAAAAUGAAACAUUUGACUCGAAAUAUAAGUGAUUAGAAUAUUAAUAAAACUAGAUUAAUUAGAAUUCAUUUAAUUCAUUUUUAAAAUAAUAAUUUAAACCAAUUUAGUCAAUUAAAACAUGGGAACUAUUUUAAAUUAAUUGAAGAUUAAGUAAAAGUUUUCAAUAAAAGUACAAGGGUUGAUAAAAAAAAAGGGAAAACUUAAUUGAAAUAAACUUAACAUAAACAAUAUGGUUCAUCUUUUGGGGAUUUUAAUUAAAUUAAUCCAAGCCAAAUAAAAGGGUUGAAAUUAAUACAAAUAAUAAUAAGAGUAAAAUAAGAAAGUUAGAAUGUGGGCCUUUUUGCCCAAAUUUCCAGAUUUGGUGGGCCUUCUGGCCCAUUUUUGCUUGGACCUGUCAUGCAAAAGAUGGGCUUUGGCCCAUUUCUUCCCCCUGAAAACCAGCAUAUACAAUGAGUGUAUAUUUAUGUAUACAGGCUGUAUUUUAGCCGAUUUUCUGUAUCUUAGGCUGUAUACCGAAUGUAUGCAGCCCACUUCAACUUUCAGCACCUGUAUUUUUAUUUUUGGACCUGUAUAUCAAUAUUCCUCAUGUAUACCAGUGUAUACUACUGUAUAUGACAGGUAUACAACCCAUUUUCGGACUUUCCGGGGCAUGUUUCAGCUUCUCUUUCAACGCAAAUAUGAGGAUGACUCGGAACGACUCAAGGAUAUGCAAGAUAUGAGUCCAAAGUGAACUCGGAUUGACAAUUCAUGCAAUGAAAACAAAGAAUAAGGAUUAGCAUAUGUAUAAUGCGGGAUAAAGAUGAGAAAAACGCAAGUUGUUUUAACUUAUAAAACCAACUUAGUUGAAAGUAAUUACAUUGUCAUUAUCACUCAUUCCAUAUAUCACAAAUAGCUUUCUCAAAUCUGGAUAUAAACCCAUAACAUUAAUAUGAAAAUCACUAGAUCUCUUAAUGCUAAACUAAGACCAAAUAGAAUAAAAUAAGAAAGAUAAAAUUUUAAACUCAUGUAGAUAAACCCUCAAAAUAAAUGGCAGACAAUUAGACUAUUGGAAUAAUGUUACUCUGUAGCUAAUCAAAUAAAGACUUGAAGAAGAUGAUAUUAUUCUCCAAAGAAGAUGUCAGGGGAAGGAAAAGCCGAUUAGAUAUUCCGUAUUUAGAGUUAGCCGGCUCAUGUAGACAAAUUCACGAUGAAGAAAACUGAUUAUGCCAAACAUUUCCGAAAUAAGGAAAAUCAAAUAAACAUUUUUAGAGCUUUCUGGACAAAUCCACAGUGGUGUAAAUGAUCACAUAAGCAUGAAAGCAACCCGAGUUAAUUUAGAAAAGAAUAAAACAUGAAACUAUAUUAGAAGAUCGGCUCAAAUCGAUAAAGUUUCACUUACGCAAAUAAACUGAUGAUAAACAAGAAGAUUGAUAAUCUUGACAAUGAGUAGGCAAAACAUCAAAGUUAGACAUGGUCAAGACUUUAAACCAACUUGAACAAGGAAACAAAUCGGUGAAGAAAUAAGAACUUAGAUCAUGGAAAAACUCUCGGCAACAAAUCCUAACAAAAACAAACUUAAAUACUUCUCGAUAGAUGAUUGAUAUAUUAGCAAUAUGAAAGCUCUCAAACUAUUUUAAAAUGAAAGCUAAAGAACAACUGGAUAUAUGGAUUCAUAUUGAUCAAUACAGAAAGAACCAAGAAGAGUCAGUAUAUGUAUAUUUCACAUUCUUGAAGUUAAUAGCUAAUUAUCAUGAAAGAUCAGCAACAAACCAUAUAUCAAAGUCGAGGAUUGCAGACAAGCUUAACAUACAACAAAGGUGAAAACUCGAAAUUGAGUGAGAGUCGAGCAAGGACAAACAAACCAAUUACAUGACUUCUAAAACGGAAAAUAGAGGGAGGGUAUUACCUUUUUCCGGGCAGCGUACUGAGACUAUGAGCCUGACCGUGAAGCUUUUAAACCACACUUGAGCAAGAAGAGAAUCGAUAAAAAAAUAGCUCUCGAUUUAAAAAUAAAUUUCUAUUUUUUGAAUGUAAAAAUCUUUUGUCCCCAACCUCUCAACUCUUAAACUUAUAAGACUUGUAUUUCUUAAAAAAGACUUUAUGUGUUUUUCCCCCUCCUUCUUUUUUCAGUGAACAGGGGUAUUUAUAGGCCGAAUUUGGGAUUUAAAAAGGGGGGGAAACGGGUUGAAAAGAUUGGAUGAUUUUCAAAUUCGAAAUUCAAAAAUGUCUUCUCAAGAGAUAAGGUUGCCAGAUUUCCGCGAUUUGGUGGGAUUUUCGCGUGAAGAAGAUGAUAUAGGGGUCGUAGGGUAUGGCUGCUUUUUUUGGAUUUGCUGGGAUUCACUACGCUGGACUGUUGUUCGUUUCUGGGUUUCUUUGCGUUUCAAGGGGAAGAAGACAUGGGUGGGGUCGGGUUUUGGUAUUGUAUGCGUAUUGUUGUACGCUGUUGUUGUUGGAACUUGUUGGAAUGGGUAUUGAAAUGGGUUUAUGUAUGGAGAAUGGGUUGUUGGGUUGGAAUUGGUGUUAUGGGCUGCUGGUUAAAGGAAAUUAAACUUGGGCCGUUGACAAAUGAAAAAGGGGCCCAAAUUUGGUCUUGCAAAGGGGUUGAAGAAAUUGGUAAGGAAGUGGCUAUAAUUGCAAUUACAAGGGAUUAGAAUUAGAACCAAUUGGAGUAAAAAACUUAGCCGAUUUGAAUUUAAUUGGUGAAUUCGGCCAAAAGUUAAAUAAGAUGAAUUAGUAUUAAUUAAUGAGCUUCUUAAUCUUAACCAAAUAAAAUAAUUGAUUUUUCAAAUAUUAACUAUUAAUUAAUUAAACUAAUUGGCAAAAUUUAAAGCAAAACUAAAACCUUUUUGAGACGAUUUUCAAAUAAAAAUAUACUAAUUAUAUACAUAACUAUAAAAACAUAUUUAUUUAUUUUUUAAAAUUUAUAAAAAUUGACAAAACUUACAUAAAAAUAACUCGAAAAAUAUUUCGAAUUUCAUAAAAGCUAAUUAAUUCAAAAUUAUAGCCAUCACUUUAAAAUACACUAAAAAUAUAAAAUCUUUUGACAUGUUUUUGGGAUAUUUAUAGGAUAUACUUAUUUCAUACAUAAUUAUAUAAAACAUAUAUAUUAUUUAAAAUUAUAAAAAGUGAUAAACUAUUUAAAAACUUGCAAAAUAUUUUUAUUUUAUUUUUAAAAAAUUUAUGAAACUAAUUAUUUUAAAUCAUUUGAAAUAGAAGAAGCUCGAUGAUUAAUCUAUAAAGCAUGUGAUAUUUUAUAAGAAAUAAAGUAUGUCGAACAAGUCGCAGGAUUGGUUCUCUCACACGAGCAAUCACCUUUUACGUCGAGGAACGUGAAGAGAUGAGUUUCACCACCAUAUUAUGACUUGUUUUAUGAGCCAGCCAAAUAUUUCUCUAAGAAGAUGAGUUUAAGGAUUACUGAAAAAGAGAAACUAGGGUUAAAUAUCUUGAGGUGUUUAGAUCGAGGUCUGUACGAUGUUGGAUAAUCGGAAGGAUGAGACUCAUACACCAGUAUAAGGUGAAAACAUCGUAACACGUGUUUCAUACCACGUGUGUCAAGCGAUCAAUGGGUCAAUGAAAGAAUAUUCCCAGCUUCUUCAUUGUGUGAGACCCAGAAAAGUUAAAUUGACUUUUCAAUGAAAUACCCUUUGACCUUUUGCUAUUUUUGAAGUUUCAAUCGAUGUUGCUACUUUAGCAUGUUACUAAUACGCACGAAUGAUUCAGCAAUGCAGUGCAUGUCUAGGAAAGCAGUUAAUAGGAGCAGAUAAAUUCGAGUAGAAAGGAAAGAAAAAUAAAUGAAUAAUAAACUUAUAUACACAAGCCGGCUAUUGCACUAACCAUAUUGGUAUUGAGUGUGAUUGUGUGUAUAAAGUUAAAUAUGAACUCGAGUUAAUAUCCUUGAGAGGAUGAGGGAUCAAAUAAGUAACUACUGAAGUAGUGAAUGACGUCUGGGGUAUUGUGAGUAAUAGUAUUCUUAUAUAAGUAGUGAAUUCAUUCCAGAUGUGAUUGGAUUCCUAUGUGGGGCUUGUAAAACCUUAAGGGUAAGCUCUUGAUGCUCACAUGUCGCACGAACUAUUUAUCAUAUGAAUUGUGUGUCUAGUUGAUGUUGUGUUGGCUUGGGUCCUGUCCACCAUGUGCGAAGUGGGAGAUGUAUGUUUUGGAUCAUGGAUCGCCCAUGUGGAUCGACCCGACCCGAAAUGUUAUCUGUAAAAAGGAGAUAAGUCUUAAUUUAAAAAUAGGGGUGGGAACAGUUACUAUGGAACGGCUCCAACAUACACAAACCUUUAUUUUUAAAUAGAGAAACUUUACGCUCUGGAGACAGAAGAAGAAAAAUAGAGAAAAACUAAACACUCUGAACACAAAUAUUUCUAAGAAAAAGACACUAACAAAAGAUAUUUAGUUUGUGAAUCAUUUACCUUGUUUCCUUGAGAUUCAAGUUUGGCUUGGAGCAAUUCUUCAAAGAAAAGGAUUUCGUCAAUUUUUCGCUGCAAAAGAUAAGGUAUACAAUUCGUCAAUUUCUUUCUAUAGAUCCAACAAUAACAUCCACCUUGUUUGCGAUGAAAUCUAUGCUGGCACCG
This 41840-nucleotide long non-coding RNA is filed under the name Solanum tuberosum (potato). RNAcentral's name for it is "long non-coding RNA (STUB_LNC005911)". Lineage: Eukaryota; Viridiplantae; Streptophyta; Magnoliopsida; Solanales; Solanaceae. The record is from RNAcentral.